AUUGAACGCUGGCGGCAGGCCUAACACAUGCAAGUCGAACGGUAACAGGAAGAAGCUUGCUUCUUUGCUGACGAGUGGCGGACGGGUGAGUAAUGUCUGGGAAACUGCCUGAUGGAGGGGGAUAACUACUGGAAACGGUAGCUAAUACCGCAUAAUGUCGCAAGACCAAAGAGGGGGACCUUCGGGCCUCUUGCCAUCGGAUGUGCCCAGAUGGGAUUAGCUAGUAGGUGGGGUAACGGCUCACCUAGGCGACGAUCCCUAGCUGGUCUGAGAGGAUGACCAGCCACACUGGAACUGAGACACGGUCCAGACUCCUACGGGAGGCAGCAGUGGGGAAUAUUGCACAAUGGGCGCAAGCCUGAUGCAGCUAUGCCGCGUGUAUGAAGAAGGCCUUCGGGUUGUAAAGUACUUUCAGCGGGGAGGAAGGGAGUAAAGUUAAUACCUUUGCUCAUUGACGGUACCCGCAGAAGAAGCACCGGCUAACUCCG
This 488-nucleotide ribosomal RNA is filed under the name uncultured bacterium. RNAcentral's name for it is "partial 16S ribosomal RNA". It matches the Rfam family "Bacterial small subunit ribosomal RNA", at positions 30 to 505 of the family's 1533-position model. The record is from RNAcentral.